AACAUGAGUGGAUUUCCAAAUGUCAAAUGUUUCCUGCUUCAGUGUUGCAUUGGGCUGUCUGUAGCUUUAAAAGUCACACAGACACCUAUCGACCUUUUCUUAGCCAAUGGAGCGCCCAUGAACAUCACCUGCAGUCACAAUGACAAAAGCUAUGACAAAAUCUUCUGGUACCAUCAGACAAACGGGCAAAGUCUCGAGCACCUUGGCUUCCUUUCCUUCCAACAAGCCUUGGUUGACAGAAAAGGUUUCAAAAUAACAGGAGAUGCAGAGAAAGAGGCGAACCUGCUGGCGUCCUCUGUGAAAUCUGAGCACAGCGGUGUGUAUUUCUGCGCAGUGAGUGCUGCACAGUGCUUCAAGUUUAUACGAGACUGCGCUCAAAAAACCCUCCCCCAUCACAUGACACAUCUGCACCUGGGUUGACAGCCCAGUUAAAUGAGGUGAACAACAGUCUCAGCCUCUAGAUACAUGAUAGC
Non-coding RNA from Megalobrama amblycephala (Wuchang bream), 473 nucleotides. The record is from the annotation of a RefSeq genome assembly. NCBI's taxonomy places the organism in Eukaryota, Metazoa, Chordata, Actinopteri, Cypriniformes, Xenocyprididae.